UUUUAAAUAAAAAAUAAUAUAACUCUUUCAUAAUAAAUCAUAUAACUAUUAACCCGCACAAUGUGCGGAGAUACAACUAGUUUAUAAGAAAAAUGAGAAAUUAAACCUUAAGCUUAAGGCUUAGUACCAUAAAAUCUUUAAUGGGCUCUAUGGAUUAAUGGGACCCGAAGACCUAAUCCACUUGGCACGCAAAAUGAACCAGUGUGGCGGGAUGCAUAAUAGAAAAUUCCAUACCACUCUUGACACUGUCUCGAUGCAGGGCCCGAGAAAUCCAGUCACAACAAAGGAGUUCGAUAAAUUCUAACAUUUAAACUCACAUGAUUGAAAUAGAAAUCGAAAAUAAUUGUACAUCUGAGACUCAAAAUUUACUUAAAAUCUUUUAUCAUUACUGAGCCGUAAUUAAGAUAAAAAUUCAGCGUCUACGCACAACUUCAGAUUAUAUGUAUUUUCGAAAACCUUGGUAAAACCAACUCAUCUAGCUCCUUGACCUCCCCUUGCAUUUAUCAACAGUUGAGGAGCAUGAGAAGCCUCAGCCUCAUAGACACUUGGGUGAGACACUAGACCAAUGAUUCGGAGGAUCUAUUGAAACACAUUCCCAUCAUUAGCUUCUUUGGCCUCCCACCUUCUGGACAUGAAUAACUGCUUGAGAAGUACCCUUUGUUUUGCUAAAAUGUAAGCCACUUUUCCUUUAUCUCUUUUUUUAAUUAAUUAAUUAAUAAAAAUUAACUAACUAAUAAUAUAAAAUAAAAUAAAUGAAUUUGAGCUAUAAUUAAAUAAAUACACAAUUAAAUGAUUUAAUCUAAGCUCAAUCUGAAAACUAUAGUCCAAGUCCCAAAAAUCACAAAGUAGAUUCAAUAAUCUCAAAAAUCAAAUUUCUCUUAUUUGUUUUGAAUAAAUCUCUCUCAUGUAUAAAUCAAAUCCUCAAAUUCCUCUUGUUUGUUUUGGAUAAAUCUCUCUCAUAUAUAAAUCAAAUCCUUAAUCUCCUUUAUGCAUUAGAUGCUUGGGUGAAAUUCAAGGUAAAAACUCUUAAUUUUUCUAUUUAUUCUAAUCAACUUUUGCUUCUUUUAAAAUCAAAUUUUUGUUGGUUGUUUUGGAUAAAUUCUCACAUACAAAUCAAAUCCGUAAUUUCUCUCUCUAUUUGUAUGAUACUUGAUGAAAAUUCGAGGUAAACUUUUGUUUCUCUUAGUAAUUCCCAGUAUUCUUCAUUUUUUUAAAUAUUUGAAGAGAAGAAGUAUUUAAAACUUGAAGAUGAUAGAUUUUUAUUGGCUCUUAUUUGAAUCUUAUUUUUAUUUUUAAUUAUGCGAUAAUGUUAAUUUAUGUGUCUAAUCUUGUGAUUUUUUUUCUAUUUUGGUAUCUGAACGGAAAAUGUUAUCAAUUGAGUGUCUGAGCUUUUAAUUUUUUUCAAUUUGGUAUCUCCUGAUGACGCAGACAAUUAAAAAUUACAUCAAGAUUAUGCAGAAUCCACUUUUGCCUUGCUGGAAGCUCAUUUGAUCUGAUAUUUAAUCCACAUCGUGAUGCCAACAUGGCAAAUGAUUGGAAAUGACCAUCCUAACCUUAUUUAGUACUUGCAACCCUUAAUAAAACUAUUAUGAAAAGAAAAAAAAAAACUUGAUUUUUUUUGAAAGCUCUUAAUAUUCUUAUCAUUAUUCUUAUUUUAUAUAUAUAAAGGAGAAACGUUAUUUUUUUCUAUAUGUUGAUAUAACACUUUCUUAAGAAAGUGAAAUUAAUAAUAUUUGAGUAUUGUGAUUUAUCUUUUUUGUGAAUGUUUAACACUACAAAAAAUUUGCUCAUUUGCGACCGAAAAAUUAGUCGCAAACUGUAAAAAAUCGGUCGCUAAAUUAAAUAAAUAAAUAACAAAAUGCCUAUAAUUUCAAUCAAGUAGAUUACUAUUUAGCUUUCUAUAAUUCCCCUUUCUCUUAGGAUAAUGUAUUUGUGAUUGAAAAAAUUCAAUGAAUUAUAUUAUGAAUUUUAUAUUUAUAUUUUUUAAAAUCCCAGCUUUCCUUAAUGAUUGAAUAUUAAUAAUCAAAUGCAAGCUAGUUUCUGCGAUGAAUCUAAAUAGUGUUAUCAAGGCAGCCAGAAAAUAAAAAAACUAGCAUUUCAAAUAAUACACAGAGGCAGUCCUAUUAGAAACUGAAAAAAUUGAAUGCAGGCAUAAAAACAAGCUAUUUGUCUACCAAACUGAACAGAAAACAUAAUAAAAACAAGAUGUUUUCUUUGUAAGCUAAGAACUCCAGAAAAGAAAACAUAAUAAUAUCACGGAUACAUUGAACAUAUAUUGAACAGCAAAUCCCACAAGAAAAAUGAAAAAAAAGAAAAAAUUCACAUUCACAUUCAAAAAAUAAAAACGAAAUACACAAAAAACGACAUUGCAUUAACAUUCAACACGAAAUACACAAAAAAAAAAAAAAGGACAGAAGGACGCGUACCUGACUAGGCGAAUGUGAACGAAGGAGGAGGAACAAUCUCCGUCGACAACGGCUUCUCCAGCCACCGGCGCUUCAACAGAGCGGAGAAGGAGGCGACUGGGCUAGGAACGGCUGCGACAAAGAGUAGAAGGGGAAAGAAGGAGGUGUUGCGCUCGCGCAAGGUGACCAAGGGUGUAUAAAGUCCUAUUUUUUUGCAACCAACAAUCUAUUAAAAAAUUGAUCGCAAGUUUUAUUCAUGCGAUGCCAUUUUAUCAGAGAAAAUUGCGACUGAAUUGCGUCCAACUUCAUCGGUCGCAAAUAUAUUGGUCACAAAUUGGUCACAAAAUAAAAGUUAAAUUUGGCACCUACCUGCAGCGCGCAAUUUUGCAACAAGAUUUUAAACGGUGGCAAAUCCAUCUCAAAAUCGAUCGCAAAGUGGUCUCAAUACGGUCGCAAAAUCAAAACCAAACUGGCGGAAAUUAUUAGCACUAGAAUUAGCGACGGAUAUUAAGUCGAUCGCUAAUCCAUCGCAAAAUUUGUCGCCUUUUGAUCAUAAAUCCGUCAGUGUAUAUUUAAUCUCCCAUUCAUCGCAAUUGAUUGCAAUAUCAUCAUAAAAUUGCAACCGAUUUGCGUCGGU
This 3042-nucleotide long non-coding RNA is filed under the name Jatropha curcas. RNAcentral's name for it is "long non-coding RNA (JCUR_LNC002828)". Lineage: Eukaryota; Viridiplantae; Streptophyta; Magnoliopsida; Malpighiales; Euphorbiaceae. The record is from RNAcentral.